GGUUCUAUAGUGUAGUGGUCAUCACGUCUGUUGUUUACACGCAGAAAGUUCUGGGUUCAACCCCAGUGGAACAA
Non-coding RNA from Ameiurus melas (black bullhead), 74 nucleotides. The record is from the annotation of a GenBank genome assembly. NCBI's taxonomy places the organism in Eukaryota, Metazoa, Chordata, Actinopteri, Siluriformes, Ictaluridae.